Molecule: ribosomal RNA, 796 nt
Filed under: uncultured bacterium
Lineage: Bacteria
Description: bacterial SSU rRNA
Rfam family: Bacterial small subunit ribosomal RNA
Source: RNAcentral
AGAGUUUGAUCAUGGCUCAGGAUGAACGCUAGCGGGAGGCUUAAUACAUGCAAGUCGAGGGGCAGCAUGACUAAACCUAGUUUAGUUGAUGGCGACCGGCGAACGGGUGAGUAACGCGUACGCAACUUACCUCCGAGUGAGGCAUAGCCCUGGGAAACUGGGAUUAAUACCUCAUAGUAUUUAGAUAUGGCAUCAUGUUUAGAUUAAAGCGUUAGUGCUCGGAGAUAGGCGUGCGUCCUAUUAGCUAGUUGGUGAGGUAAUGGCUCACCAAGGCAACGAUAGGUAGGGGGCGUGAGAGCGUGGACCCCCACACGGGUACUGAGACACGGACCCGACUCCUACGGGAGGCAGCAGUAAGGAAUAUUGGACAAUGGGCGCAAGCCUGAUCCAGCCAUCCCGCGUGCAGGAUGACAGCCCUCUGGGUCGUAAACUGCUUUUAUAUGGGAAGAAACCCCUCGAUUUAUUGGGGGCUGACGGUACCAUAAGAAUAAGCACCGGCUAAUUCCGUGCCAGCAGCCGCGGUAAUACGGAAGGUGCAAGCGUUAUCCGGAAUCACUGGGUUUAAAGGGUGCGUAGGCGGUUAGAUAAGUCAGAGGUGAAAGCUCACAGCUUAACUGUGGAAUUGCCUUUGAUACUGUUUAACUUGAAUCAGGUUGAGGUUGGCGGAAUGACAUGUAGCGGUGAAAUGCAUAGAUAUGUCAUAGAACACCAAUUGCGAAGGCAGCUAGCUAGACCUGCAUUGACGCUGAGGCACGAAAGCGUGGGGAGCGAACAGGAUUAGAUACCCUAGUAGUCC